AGCUCCAAUAGCGUAUAUUAAAGUUGUUGCAGUUAAAAAGCUCGUAGUUGGAUUUCUGGCAGGAGCGGCCGGCCACGCGCUCUGCGCGUGAGUUUGUGCUGUCUCUGGCCAUCCUCGGGGAGAUCGCGUUUGGCAUUAAGUUGUCGGGCGUGGGAUACCCGUCGUUUACUGUGAAAAAAUUAGAGUGUUUAAAGCAGGCUUAUGCCGUUGAAUAUAUUAGCAUGGAAUAAUAAGAUAGGACUUCGGAACUAUUUUGUUGGUUUGCGUUACGAAGUAAUGAUUAAUAGGGACAGUUGGGGGUAUUCGUAUUUCGUUGUCAGAGGUGAAAUUCUUGGAUUUCCGAAAGACGAACUACUGCGAAAGCAUUUACCAAGGAUGUUUUCAUUA
This 387-nucleotide ribosomal RNA is filed under the name Thalassiosira sp. Its description in RNAcentral is "partial small subunit ribosomal RNA". It matches the Rfam family "Eukaryotic small subunit ribosomal RNA", at positions 587 to 975 of the family's 1831-position model. The record is from RNAcentral. RNAcentral also lists the same sequence under 1 other name. Lineage: Eukaryota; Bacillariophyta; Thalassiosirophyceae; Thalassiosirales; Thalassiosiraceae.